This 450-nucleotide ribosomal RNA is filed under the name uncultured bacterium. RNAcentral describes it as "bacterial SSU rRNA". It matches the Rfam family "Bacterial small subunit ribosomal RNA", at positions 328 to 793 of the family's 1533-position model. The record is from RNAcentral.
UGACAGUACUCCUACGGGAGGCAGCAGUGGGGAAUAUUGCACAAUGGGCGCAAGCCUGAUGCAGCAACGCCGUGUGAGUGAAGAAGGUUUUCGGAUCGUAAAACUCUGUCCUAAGGGAAGAAACAAAUGACGGUACCUUAGGAGGAAGCCCCGGCUAACUACGUGCCAGCAGCCGCGGUAAUACGUAGGGGGCAAGCGUUAUCCGGAAUCACUGGGCGUAAAGGGUGCGUAGGCGGCUUAGCAAGCCAGGGGUGAAAGGCAUUGGCUCAACCAAUGUAAGCCUUUGGAACUGUUAAGCUUGAGUGCAGGAGAGGUAAGUGGAAUUCCUAGUGUAGAGGUGAAAUUCGUAGAUAUUAGGAGGAACACCAGUGGCGAAGGCGACUUACUGGACUGUAACUGACGCUGAUGCACGAAAGCGUGGGUAGCGAACAGGAUUAGAUACCCUGGUAG